This 105-nucleotide ribosomal RNA is filed under the name Rhinopithecus roxellana (golden snub-nosed monkey). Lineage: Eukaryota; Metazoa; Chordata; Mammalia; Primates; Cercopithecidae. The record is from RNAcentral.
GUCUGGAGCCCUUCGACCCUGGCUUGAUCUUGGAAGCUAAGCAGGGUAGGGACUGGCUAGAACUUGGUAAGGGAGACUGCCUGGGAAAACCGGGCGCUCAAAAAC